CGAGGAGCAGGUCAGCCGGGCCAACCAGCACAAAGAGCAACAGCUGGCCCUGAAGCAGCAGAUCGAGAGCGAGGUGGCAAACCUGAAGAAGACUAUUAAAGUGACAACAGCAGCUGCUGCAGCAGCCACAUCCCAAGACCCAGAGCAGCACCUCACGGAGCUCAGGGAGCCAGCCCCUGGCACCAACCAGCGCCAGACGAGCAAGAAAACCUCCAAAGCCAAAGGGCUCCGGGGCAGCGCGAAGAUUUGGUCUAAAUCAAACUAGUUGGAUCUCCCUUCACAACUGGGAGGGUGAGAGGAAGAGAUUUGGGGGAUGGAGGGGGUAGCAGGGGUCCCAAGUGUGAUGCUUCUGAGCUCUUCUCUGAGAUCCAUCUUUCCAACUAACUCUCCUGCAUGUUUGUUCUCUUUUCCUUUCUUCUUUAUCGAUGUUUCAGGCAGUGUCUCCCUCCUUUUCAUCACAGCAUUUCACACUCUGAGCUUCAGGUUGUACACAUUGCUGUUUCCCCAGCCGCUCAAGCCCCCGUCGCCACGGCCACCUCUUUCUCUCUUUCUCUCUUUCUCUCUUUCUCUCUCCCUGUCUUUUGACAGGUCAAUUUUAGGAGCCAUAAAGGUGUGACAGUCACCUUGGCACCCCCAGGGCAUCACAGUAUCUUGGAAAGAGGGUGCUGGUGCUCAGCAGUUGUUUUGGCUCUAUGAGACCCCUGGGAUACUUUGCUCCAGGACACCGUCUUUGAUUGUUUAAUCUUUGUUUUGCUAGGUGGGAGGGUAGUUUUUGAAGGGGUUCUUUUAAAAAAUAUAUAAAUAUAUUAUAAAUAUAUAUAAAACAAUAAAAAUAUAGAUCUAUGGACAUAUCUAUACAAACCUGUGCUCCUGUGAAUGGUGUCUCUUUGCCUUGUAUGCUGAUUCUGGAGGUUCCAAAAUAAGCUGUGAUAUUAAGAGCUUCUGUCCCAUUUUAGGGUGGAAUAUCCUCAAAAUACUAGGUUCCCUUUUCAGAGGUAGUGCCACAGUAUCUCUAUUGGGAUGAUAGUCUGUAAAACGGAAAUUAACCAUAAAUCUUUUUUAAAUUG
Non-coding RNA from Cyanistes caeruleus (blue tit), 1067 nucleotides. The record is from RefSeq and is a predicted model, not a curated record. Lineage: Eukaryota; Metazoa; Chordata; Aves; Passeriformes; Paridae.